Vigna radiata var. radiata (mung bean) is the source of this 973-nucleotide long non-coding RNA. RefSeq lists it as uncharacterized. The record is from RefSeq and is a predicted model, not a curated record. NCBI's taxonomy places the organism in Eukaryota, Viridiplantae, Streptophyta, Magnoliopsida, Fabales, Fabaceae. The transcript has 5 exons.
GUGCUCUUGAUGGAGAGAGUGGGAGGUCCUAAGAAAGGUCUGGCUAUGGUGGGCCUCGCGGUCCUUAUCGUGGGGGACGUGGAGGUUUUGGUGAUGGGGAAGCUGGUGAAGAUGGGCAACCACGACGAGUCUAUGAACGUCGCAGUGGGAGAGGGAACUGGGGACUACCAACUGAUGAACUUGCCCAGGCAACUGAUGAUGUAAAUGAAACUGCUAAGAAUUUUGGCGAAGAAAAGCCUUCUGGUGAUAAUAAUGAUGUUGCUGCUGAUGGAAACAAGGAGAAUCCUGCUAAUGAGGAUGAAGAAAAAGAGCCUGAGGAUAAGGGGCAAUCCAAAGGAAGAACCUGGUGCAAUUGUUUGCAGGGUCAUACCAAAUACAUGCCUCCAGAGGUGAGGAGGACCUUGGCCUUGUCCGUGUUUUGGCAGACUAUACUAUCAAGCACCACUGUCUUUACAUUGAAAACAUGAGUAAGAGUGAAGGCUUAUCUUUUUCUCCACUGGUGAUGAAGAUCAUUCUGUUGUAGACCUUACUUCAAAAAGUAUGCAGCNNGGGUGGUGGAGGUUGCUGAGCGUACUGCUUCCUUGAUUGCUAGAUGGCAGGGGGUUGGUUUCACUCAUGGUGGAGGAUUUGACUGCUAGACAAGUUUAUGAGAAACUUUUGGAGGCUGUGCAACCUUAACGUUGUUUGUUUAGCUUUAGUAUCCAUGGUAUCUGUCUGCUUCUAUGAGGUUCAUUUGCAUUUUCCAUAUUAAGGCAGGGAGGUUUAAAUUUCAGUUGUAAUGUUGUUUACUUAGAUUCUCACAAAGCAGUUGGCUACGGUGCAAUAGAAACCUUGCUUGUCAUGCUCAUGUACUAUAACACUUGAUUGGAUGGUAUUAGGUGAACAAAAUCUACAUGGUUACNAGAUAAACGCAUCAAAAUCCUUCUCUUUUUCGAUAUAUUAAGGGUAAAUUAUUUAUUGGACUCUAGUUUCA